Molecule: ribosomal RNA, 486 nt
Filed under: uncultured bacterium
Lineage: Bacteria
Description: partial 16S ribosomal RNA
Rfam family: Bacterial small subunit ribosomal RNA
Source: RNAcentral
AUUGAACGCUGGCGGCAUGCCUUACACAUGCAAGUCGAACGGCAGCACGGGUGCUUGCACCUGGUGGCGAGUGGCGAACGGGUGAGUAAUACAUCGGAACAUGUCCUGUAGUGGGGGAUAGCCCGGCGAAAGCCGGAUUAAUACCGCAUACGAUCCACGGACGAAAGCGGGGGACCUUCGGGCCUCGCGCUAUAGGGUUGGCCGAUGGCUGAUUAGCUAGUGGGUGGGGUAAAGGCCUACCAAGGCGACGAUCGGUAGCUGGUCUGAGAGGACGACCAGCCACACUGGGACUGAGACACGGCCCAGACUCCUACGGGAGGCAGCAGUGGGGAAUGUUGGACAAUGGGCGAAAGCCUGAUCCAGCAAUGCCGCGUGUGUGAAGAAGGCCUUCGGGUUGUAAAGCACUUUUGUCCGGAAAGAACUCCUUGACUCUAAUACAGUCGGGGGAUGACGGUACCGGAAGAAUAAGCACCGGCUAACUACGUG